AGGCGUGUGGAUUCGGAAGAGCGCGGAGCGCUCCUCCCGCCACACACUCAUGGCAGCAUCUCCCACCUGUCGAGGCACAUGCGGGCAAGCCAUCCAGACGCCCGCACCUGUGGCAUCGACAAAAACAUGUGAGGAAGACAACGAGCCCGUUUCCGCAGACAACCACGUCCUUAUGUUGCAGGCCCCGGGAUGCAGACAUGCCAGCAAUGUGCGCACGAGCUGUCAACCGUCGCCGGCAUGACGUAUCAUAUAGAAACAAAGCGGCCAGAGGUGAUUAGAACAGAAGUGAUUGACGCUACAGGCACGACGACAUCCACGCCGAUCAGCCCCACAGCACAUGCCUGCGAAGCGCACGGCACCUCCGACGUCCCGGGCGGGUGGGCUGGCGAGGCCCGGGUGCCGGCAGCAUGGCGAGAGCAGCCCGAAUCAACGCAGCGAGUCCUCCAGACGCCCAUGUGGAGUGUCGCCACACGGUGGCACGGGAGUGCGCGGCGCGAGGCAACGGGGUGCGAAGGAUGGCCCGCAGGCAGCGGUGCGCAGGGUCUCGGAGGGCCCUGGCCUGAGAGGCUGGCCGACGUCCGUGAGCUCACCCGGUGCGCGCGUAGCUGACGCCUCGCCUGUUGGCCGGCACGACGGGCACCACGGCUUCCGCCCUCGAGCGGGGGACCCUUGGCGGCGGUGUGCUUUGGGUGAAGGCGUGCAGGCCACCCGCGUCUGCGUCUGGCGCGGAUCGGGCAGCACGCCGCCGGCGGAGGGACCGAGAGGGGCAGGAUGGGGAGAGCUGGUUAGACGCGUGGCCUGAUUCGAUGACAGGGGCUGGGCGGGCGCGUCCCAGAGGGCCUGGAUGUCGCGGUGGUGCGGCAGCGGUGGUGGAGCUGUGGCUGGGUGUGCGUAUAUUCUGUUGACUUAGGCCCUAAAUCGCAAUGUGGAAUCUUUUGAUUUCUGAAUCUCCGCUUCCGUCUCAUUUUUUUUUCUUCUUUGAUGCGCAUGCUUUUGCUUUCCUUACACAUGGCUUGGGUGAUUUCGGUGCGCUUGAGGGAAAUGUGUCCCGAGUUCGAUGGUGCUACGAAUCAUGUUCGAAGUUCCUCCUUUAAGAUUUUUUUGUGAUUUUAUUUGUCGCGACUUUGCGACUUUGCACGCGAUUUCGUCGAUGAUGCGACGGCUUGUUGUUUUGUUGUUGAUUCCGGCUUCUAUUAUCUGCUAUGCGCCUUCCCUCUCUUCAUCCCACGUGACCAAAGGCCUUCCGCCUUCAAGUUUACACAGCCGUGCAUGAGUUGCUGUCUCCACUCCUCGAGGACUGUGUGUGUUUGGAGGGGGCGGGGAUGCAUUUUUGUCUAAAGGACGUUUUUUUUUGUGCCCAACCUCCGCCGCCUGCGCUAUACAAACUGUCGGCAAAGCACGCGGUGGAAAGAAGGCAAGCAGGCCAUCAAAAAAGUCAGCGAAGGGCGCGGCGCAGACAGAAGCGCCGCGGGAAUACAGCCAAGAAAGAAUGACACCGCGGAGGCUCGCACAGUGUUGAUUUGUGCAGAGCAACCCCCCUCUCUUUCUCGUCUGUGCCUGUAACGUUGCAGCACACGGGGGCGACACACGAGCCGCACGCAAAUGCGUAUCGAUUCAUGAAGAGAGAUACACUCUCUCAUCAAACAGGCGAGGAUACAAGAGGAAAGUGGCGUUUAACAGACUGUGGUGAAGUCUAUAUUGGCGGGAAGGCGAAUCUACUGCAUGGACGGGCUCGUUGCCGGGCUGCUUCGGCUUCCUUUUUCAGCGAUGUAGACAACGCAAGACGCUCUGAAGAAAAAUGCUGAAGAGGGUGGUGUUUCCUUUUUUCUCGUUUCGCCUUUUGCUGCUUGUGGAACUUGUGGCUGUGUGUGGUGUCUUGGUGUCGGUGUUGGAAGCAGCGAUCGUAUAGCGGAGCGAAAGAGGGGGCGGGGCUUGGGAGCGAUUCUGAUUCGCCUCGCUUCAGCUGUUGCGAAUGAUUUCACCAAUCGCACCCGAGGCAACAUAAAAUGCAGGGUGGCCGGCUUACAUAGUCGCUGGGAAACAAAACGAUUUCAGUGGGGUGCAGUCGAUGUGUUGCCCCCCCCCCCCCCCCGCAGACGUAGGCAUGCCAGGAAGGUGGCAGGCUAGGAGGAGUUUCGGCAGCCGACCUCCUCGAGGUGACGCCACUGGCUUUACUCGCUCGGAAAGCUGCAGAGGAGUCUGGAGGGAGGAAAGACGGGAGGAAGGGACGGGGUCUUGGAGUGGUGACGAUGUUGCUGCGACGUUUUCUGCAACACUUGUCAGUGUCCGUUGUCCGCCGCCGGUUGGCCAUGUCCGGGCGAUGAGUGCGUGAGCGCGUGCUGAACGCCUCUGCCGCUCUGCGUCUCAACGGAUGUCAAUGGUUGGUCUUUGCACUUUUCCAACCUUCAUGCUCUUCACCGCCUCUUUACUCGCGUCCUUUUCUGUUUUCUCUCUUUCGCACUUCUCCUGUAAACGUUUUUGCCCCUCUUCAUCCCCACCCCUGCGUCACUUUAUCGUCUUCCCAUUCGACUACCAUGUUUUGCAUGGGCUCUUUGCCUUUCCUCGGCUUGUCUUGCUCGUGCGGUCUGUGCGUGAG
Molecule: unclassified non-coding RNA, 2596 nt
Filed under: Leishmania donovani
Lineage: Eukaryota; Euglenozoa; Kinetoplastea; Trypanosomatida; Trypanosomatidae
Description: gene:unknown
Source: RNAcentral